AAAAGAGCUGCUCAGCACCUCCUUCUAGUUAGAGCAAUGAAACAGCCCGUGGAGCCCCCGCAACCCAGCAUAAUGGAAUGACCCGUGCACCACUAACGGUGGAAUAGCCGGGCUUCUACGCCGACCCCCCACCAAGCCACAGACAAGAGCAGAGCUCCGCGCAGCGCCCCCCUCCCGCGCUGCUCCUGAAGCAUGAUGGCCAGUGUCUGCACAUCAGCCUGUCCACUGGGAGACAGCAACUCAGCUCCAAACAUACCCUCCGCCUCCUCCUCAUCUGAGCCAUCCAGCUCCCCAGGGAAUGGAGGUGGCAUGGACCCCGCAGGGGCAGACCGCUCCCACUCCUAUCUCUGUGUGGAGACAGAGAGAUGCCAGGUGGACAAGGGCCGAGUUCUCACCAGGCAGCAGGACAUCCACGUGAAGAGCCAUCGAGGCAAGUGGGGAUGACGGAAGAAGAAGAGAAGACAGUGUGGGUCCAGGAGACCUUGCUUCUCAACUCAGUCCCCUCCCAGAGCCCUGCACGUUGGGCUCCACCUCCUACUGCUGCCCUCCCAAGCCCUGCUCAGUCCAGGCCCCAGAAGUGGCUGCUGACCUUAGAGGGCUCAUCUUUGACCCCUGACCAGCGACCCCUCUUGCUUGCCCGGC
Long non-coding RNA from Balaenoptera acutorostrata (minke whale), 642 nucleotides. RefSeq lists it as uncharacterized. The record is from RefSeq and is a predicted model, not a curated record. NCBI's taxonomy places the organism in Eukaryota, Metazoa, Chordata, Mammalia, Artiodactyla, Balaenopteridae. The transcript has 3 exons.